AUUACACAAAUAUGAAGGCGGGCUGGAACCUCUCGGGGUUACAGCCUUGCUGAAUUAUUCACCCUUGUCUUUUGCGUACUUCUUGUUUCCUUGGUGGGUUCGCCCACCACUAGGACAAACAUAAACCUUUUGUAAUUGCAAUCAGCGUCAGUAACAAAUUAAUAAUUACAACUUUCAACAACGGAUCUCUUGGUUCUGGCAUCGAUGAAGAACGCAGCGAAAUGCGAUAAGUAGUGUGAAUUGCAGAAUUCAGUGAAUCAUCGAAUCUUUGAACGCACAUUGCGCCCUUUGGUAUUCCAAAGGGCAUGCCUGUUCGAGCGUCAUUUGUACCCUCAAGCUUUGCUUGGUGUUGGGCGUCUUGUCUCUAGCUUUGCUGGAGACUCGCCUUAAAGUAAUUGGCAGCCGGCCUACUGGUUUCGGAGCGCAGCACAAGUCGCACUCUCUAUCAGCAAAGGUCUAGCAUCCAUUAAGCCUUUUUUUCAACUUUUGACCUCGGAUCAGGUAGGGAUACCCGCUGAACUUAAGCAUAUCAAUA
RNAcentral lists this ribosomal RNA (535 nucleotides) under Alternaria alternata. Its description in RNAcentral is "eukaryotic LSU rRNA". The stretch from base 170 to 323 matches the Rfam family "5.8S ribosomal RNA". The record is from RNAcentral. Lineage: Eukaryota; Fungi; Ascomycota; Dothideomycetes; Pleosporales; Pleosporaceae.